UACGUAGGGGGCAAGCGUUGUCCGGAAUUAUUGGGCGUAAAGCGCGCGCAGGCGGUCGUUUAAGUCUGGUGUUUAAGCCCGGGGCUCAACCCCGGUUCGCAUCGGAAACUGGAUGACUUGAGUGUAGGAGAGGAAAGUGGAAUUCCACGUGUAGCGGUGAAAUGCGUAGAGAUGUGGAGGAACACCAGUGGCGAAGGCGACUUUCUGGCCUAUAACUGACGCUGAGGCGCGAAAGCGUGGCGAGCAAACAG
Molecule: ribosomal RNA, 251 nt
Filed under: uncultured Paenibacillus sp.
Lineage: Bacteria; Bacillati; Bacillota; Bacilli; Caryophanales; Paenibacillaceae
Description: partial 16S ribosomal RNA
Rfam family: Bacterial small subunit ribosomal RNA
Source: RNAcentral